ACCAGAUGCCCCAUGCGAUGCAGCAGCCGCAUCCUUAUGAUCAACAAAUACCGAUGUACUACAUGCAGAUGAGGCCAAACCAGCCUUACAACAUUGCUCCUAUGCAGCCCAAUUUGGUUGAUGCUACUAUCGUGGCUGCUGCAGCUUCCACUGCCACCACAGUCCCAGCCAAGCAGGCUGCGGCGCACCUUAAAGCCCCUGCUAGGACUGAG
This 212-nucleotide unclassified non-coding RNA is filed under the name Hevea brasiliensis (rubber tree). Lineage: Eukaryota; Viridiplantae; Streptophyta; Magnoliopsida; Malpighiales; Euphorbiaceae. The record is from RNAcentral.